AUGAGGAAACUGUGGCCCAGGGAGAUUUUAAGUGUUGCCCAAGAUCACCCACGGUAGUAAGGUGCAGAGGAAAGAUUUGAACUCUGAUCUCCCGAUUACCAAACCAGGAGUUGAACCCAGUCCCAACGGGAUUGCCUGGUGUUCAGAGCUGGGCACUUGGAAGCGUACCGCGCGCUAUCUCGCAGACCUGACCAGGAGAAUUCGGUGCCCCAAAGAAGGUUGCCUCCCAGAUCGAAGUUGGAGGGCCCAGCUCAAUUUUAUCUCCGCCUACCGCACCUACUCCGGGGUCGGGCGCCAGCUGAGGAGGACAAGGACAAAAGCUGCAGACUAGCCAGCACACACCUUUUCCUCACUUUCCCACCCUCCGCUCCCUGUGAACUCUGUUAAUUCAGUGAAAGUGUAAUCUGCAGUAGGAAGUUCUGGAACUGCUCUGGGACUUUGGAGUUAUGCCCCCUCUCCUGUGUUUGCCUAUGCCCCAAAUGCCCUCCUAUUUACUUUCUCCGGCUCUUUAGCAACAUUGCUAGGGGUGGCACUCCAAGGUCGAUUAGAAAAGUCCUCUUGUGAUUGAAGCCAGCAUUAUCCAUCUUGGGCUUUGCAAAAACUGAAACCCCGCCCCCCACAAUGUCUCAUCUUGCAGCACUGAGCUGUUGUACCACGUAUAAUCCCUAAAAAUAAAAUUAACUUCUCAAAAGUGGCAAAAGCCUGAGAGGGGAAAAAGGACUGUCAAACCCUGGAAUAUGUUAUUUGAGAAAUACUGGAAAUUUUUAAAAGAAGGAGAAUUUUUGUGCUCAUGACUAUCAACAGGUAGUUUUCUGGAACUGCACUGGUCCCAGAGGCCUGAAGAACUAGAUCUUACAUACAAGAAAGCUGAGACCCAGAGAGUUUAAGUGACCAAGUAUUCUCUCUGGAUCUAAGAACGUUUUUGGUUUCUAGCUUUUAUUUUAAAGAUUGCUAGAAAUUAGGUGACAUACAGAUGAAAAAUCCUUUGUUCUAUUUGUGUAGGACAAACAUUUAAGGUGUACUGAAGUGAGGGAGGACUAGAUGUGGUAGUUCCCAACCUGUGGGAUGCUAUUACUUUAAAGGGUUUUAUCUCAUUAAAUGACUCCUCAAUAUAAUAAAUAAGCAUGGUUUUUAUAGACUGAAUAAUGUCACAUUUGGAUUCCCAUUUUCAGAUGUAUGUAGAUGUGAUUAAUAAAACACAAGUUCACUUAAAAA
Long non-coding RNA from Trichosurus vulpecula (common brushtail), 1215 nucleotides. RefSeq lists it as uncharacterized. The transcript has 2 exons. The record is from RefSeq and is a predicted model, not a curated record. Lineage: Eukaryota; Metazoa; Chordata; Mammalia; Diprotodontia; Phalangeridae.